ACACGACUACAUUAGAUACCCCUGUAGUCCUAGCCGUAAACGAUACUCGCUAGGUGUCGGCCACGGUGCGACCGUUGUCGGCGCCGUAGGGAAGCCGUGAAGCGAGCCACCUGGGAAGUACGGCCGCAAGGCUGAAACUUAAAGGAAUUGGCGGGGGAGCACCACAACGGGUGGAGCUUGCGGUUUAAUUGGAUUCAACGCCGGAAAUCUUACCGGGACCGACAGCAACAUGAAGGCCAAGCUGAAGACUUUGCCGGAUUAGCUG
This 265-nucleotide ribosomal RNA is filed under the name uncultured archaeon. Its description in RNAcentral is "partial 16S ribosomal RNA". It matches the Rfam family "Archaeal small subunit ribosomal RNA", at positions 717 to 982 of the family's 1478-position model. The record is from RNAcentral.